Molecule: long non-coding RNA, 376 nt
Filed under: Chrysemys picta bellii (western painted turtle)
Lineage: Eukaryota; Metazoa; Chordata; Testudines; Emydidae
Description: lncRNA (ENSCPBG00000016630.1)
Source: RNAcentral
AGUUUGUGCUGUGAAGAAAUGCGGGGAUUAGGAUAGGACCAGAGGGGUUGGGCUGUCCAGUGAUAAGAGCAGAGGCCUGAGAACUAAGAAAAUGUAAGGGUUCAAGUUCCAGCAGAGACCUUACACAAGCUGUUUGCCAUUCUUGUGUUUACCCAGUUUUACCAGAAUUGAUGGACAGAGACUAAUUAAGGAAUAAAUAAGGAAACUUUGAGUUAAAAAAUCUAGAACACCACUCUGCCAGAAAUAAAUGGCCUAUGACAGUCAUGCUGGGAUGCUGGAACAAUUUAUAUAGUGGGGGUGCUGAGAGCCAUUGAACCAAACUGCAAACUCCGUGUAUGAUGGAAACCACUUCAAGCUAGGGGGCGCGGUAGCACCC